Molecule: RNA transcript, 2821 nt
Organism: Boleophthalmus pectinirostris (great blue-spotted mudskipper)
Lineage: Eukaryota; Metazoa; Chordata; Actinopteri; Gobiiformes; Gobiidae
Gene name: arfaptin-1-like
Exons: 10
Source: RefSeq, a predicted model, not a curated record
UCAGGCUUUUCCUGACGUUGAGUUUCAGCCUCGGUGUUUCUGAGUCUCGGUGUUUCUGAGUCUCGGUGUUUCUGAGUCUCGGUGUUUCUGAGUCUCGGUGUUUCUGAGUCUCGGUGUUUCUGAGUCUCGGUGUUUCUGCGCUUCUGUGUUGGAGUUUUUCAGUUCGGUGCGGGACAUGAGAGACUCGCUCCUGUUCGCUCCGUGAAACUCACAGGACGCGGAGAAGAAUGGAGGGAGCAGAGGACGCCAGCCCCCCCACGUCCACAGGAGACACCCCCACGUCCACAGGAGACACCCCCACGUCCACAGGAGACACCCCCACGUCCACAGGAGACACAGGAGACACCCCCACGUCCACAGGAGACACAGGAGACACCCCCACGUCCACUGGAGACACAGGAGACACCCCAACUCACACGGAAUCUCCUCAAACGUCGGCGCUCUGUGUGAAACCCCAGUGUCCACCUGAAGAGGGCGCCGCUCUGGGCUCAGAACACACACACACCAGCACAGUUUCAGAUUCACCUGUGACUCCUCCUCCUCCAGAUUCACCUGUGACUCCUCCUCCUCCUCCUCGCGUGGGUGCGGCGGCCGUCGUGGUUCAGAGCAGCAGCAGGAGUCCGGCGAGUGAGAAACUGGAGCGAGUCCGGAAGUGGAGCAUCACCACCUACAAAUGCACACGUCAGGCUCUGGCGGAGAAACUGGGCCGCGGCUCUCGGACCGUGGACCUGGAGCUGGAGCCUCGUCUGGAGCUGCUCAGGGACGACCGGCAGCGCUACGAUCACAUGACCAAACUCACGCAGACGCUGGCCAAUCAGAUCGCUCAGCUCUCCGUCACGCAGAAGGCGCUGGGGGACGCGUUCUCUGAGCUCAGCGUCAAAACGCCGACACUACACGUGGAGUUUGGGCUGAACGCCGAGGCUCAGAGGUUUCUGGGUAAAAGCGGCGAGACCCUGAGCGCCGCCGUGAACUCCUUCACCUCCGACAUGAACACGCUGCUCAACAAAACCAUCGAGGACACCAUGAUCAACGCCAAACAGUACGACAACGUGAGGAUGGAGUAUGACGCGUACCGUGUGGACCUGGAGGAGCUGAACAUGGGCCCACGAGACCCGGUGACGGUUCCCAAACUGGAACAGGCCCAGAAGAACUUCAGCCUCCACAGAGAAAAGUACGAGAAGAGCAGAGAAAACCUGUCAAUCAAACUCAAACUGCUGGAGGAGAACAAGGUGAAGGUUCUGCAGAAUCAGUUGUGGUUUUUCCAUCAGGCUGUGGCCUCUCACUGUCUCAACUCCCACCGCUUCCUCCAGAACAACAUCCUCCACAACCUGCCCCCCGAGAACAACCACAGCGCCCCCAGCUGGCUGGAGGAGUCAUGACCACAACCACAGCCACAGCGCCCCCAGCUGGCUGGAGGAGUCAUGACCACAACCACAACCACAGCCACAGCGCCCCCAGCUGGAAGAGUCAUGACCACAACAACCACAGCGCCUCCUGGGAAGUCGCAGAGCGGGAAUUUGAAGGGGAAUUUUCUUGGGUCCAUAUUUGUCUGUUUGUGCAUUUAUAUUAAACAGUUCUGUUCCACCUGUGCAGGGACAGGGGAGGGGGGGGAGGGGACAGGUGAGGGGGGGGGAGGGGACAGGUGAGGGGGCAGGGGGGGGACAGGUGAGGGAGGGGGCAGGUAAAAUAAUGGUGGGGUGUCCAAACUGUGGUCCUGGGACCAAAUUCAGAUUUUUACAGCUAAAUGUAAAUCUUUGUGCCUCAGUCACAGACGUGAAGAGAAGAUCUGACUCUGAAAACUCUGACGCUGUAAAGAAACGUUCUCCUGGACCCAGACGAGGGUUUGUGGACGUGUUGGUUCCAUCGUCAGUGUGAGAUUUACUUUUCUGUGUCUGAGAACAAAGACAAACUCAGUGACGUCGGGUUUGACGGAGACAAACUCGCGUCUGUGGUUCAAACUUUAAUAAAGAAACAAUAAUCUGUAAUAAUAAAACCAAACAACAACAACACAACAGAAACCCUCGAGACCCGACAGUUUGGACGCCCUGAAACAAACUCACACGUGGGAGUUUUAAAAUUUCUAUCUUUAAAUGUUUUUAUUGAGAUAAAAUAUUUUUAUAAAACACAUUCCUCCAGCAGCAGGAGCCUUUCCACAGACGUAACGCCACACUGUGGAACCUUCCAGACAAAGGCCCAGUGCACAUGUGACACACACACACACACACAAAUACAACCAAACACAACCAAACACACUGUGUGAACUUUCACUUUCACAUUUGACUGAAGCUUUUGCACCUUAAAUAAUCUGCCAAAGACUCGAGUCAUUUUGUCCUUUUGGAUUUUCAGACCUUCAGAUUUAUACAGUUCUGACGAGUUUCACUUUUGUAUGUUUACUUUUGUAUGUUUUACUUUUGUAUGUUUUACUUUUGUAUGUUUUACUUUUGUAUGUUUCACUUUUGUAUGUUUUACUUUUGUAUGUUUUACUUUUGUAUGUUUUACUUUUGUACGUUCUACAUGUUCAUGUUCUCUGUUCACUUUGCUGAUGUUCAUGAGGGAACAUUAGAACAUUAGAACAUUAGAACAUGACUUCAUUUGUCUGUGAUUUAGGACCUUGAAUGUUUUACAGAUUUUUAGUUUUCUUUGAGUUUUGCACAACGUCUCAAACUUUGUGAGUUUCUGUGAAUGUUGAACUUCAGAGAAGACGUGACCUCAAACUCUCCAAACUCUCCAAAGAACCAAAGAAACACUCCAGAGUUUUACUCUUCAGACGUUCGUGUGAUUUCACUUUGAAAAGUCACAUUAAAAUCCUCGUGUAAAUCUG